RNAcentral lists this transfer RNA (65 nucleotides) under Ungaliophis continentalis. Its description in RNAcentral is "tRNA-Val". Lineage: Eukaryota; Metazoa; Chordata; Lepidosauria; Squamata; Ungaliophiidae. The record is from RNAcentral.
CAAAAAGUAGCUUACACAAAGCAUUCGACUUACACUCGAAAGACAUUUACCCACAAUCUUUUUGA